ACACUGAUGGUGAAGCGGUUAUCAUGCUUGCCUUCCACUUCAGUGAGCAAGCGGCAGGGGUUCGACUCCCCUUCAGUGUA
This is a non-coding RNA of Panaeolus papilionaceus, 80 nucleotides long. The record is from the annotation of a GenBank genome assembly. Lineage: Eukaryota; Fungi; Basidiomycota; Agaricomycetes; Agaricales.